UACCAGCACCCCGAGUGGUCGGGACGUUUAUUGGGCCUAAAGCAUCCGUAGCCGGUUCUGCAAGUCUUCGGUUAAAUCCACCUGCUUAACAGAUGGGCCGCGGAAGAUACUAUAGAGCUGGGAGGCGGGAGAGGCAAGCGGUACUCGAUGGGUAGGGGUAAAAUCCGUUGAUCCAUUGAAGACCACCAGUGGCGAAGGCGGCUUGCCAGAACGCGCUCGACGGUGAGGGAUGAAAGCUGGGGGAGCAAACCGG
RNAcentral lists this ribosomal RNA (253 nucleotides) under uncultured bacterium. Its description in RNAcentral is "partial 16S ribosomal RNA". It matches the Rfam family "Archaeal small subunit ribosomal RNA", at positions 474 to 727 of the family's 1478-position model. The record is from RNAcentral.